UGGGGAAUAUUGGACAAUGGGCGAAAGCCUGAUCCAGCCAUGCCGCGUGUGUGAAGAAGGUCUUCGGAUUGUAAAGCACUUUAAGUUGGGAGGAAGGGCAGUAAGCGAAUACCUUGCUGUUUUGACGUUACCGACAGAAUAAGCACCGGCUAACUCUGUGCCAGCAGCCGCGGUAAUACAGAGGGUGCAAGCGUUAAUCGGAAUUACUGGGCGUAAAGCGCGCGUAGGUGGUUCGUUAAGUUGAAUGUGAAAGCCCCGGGCUCAACCUGGGAACUGCAUCCAAAACUGGCGAGCUAGAGUAGGGCAGAGGGUGGUGGAAUUUCCUGUGUAGCGGUGAAAUGCGUAGAUAUAGGAAGGAACACUAGUGGCGAAGGCGACCACCUGGGCUCAUACUGACACUGAGGUGCGAAAGCGUGGGGAGCAAACAGG
RNAcentral lists this ribosomal RNA (429 nucleotides) under Pseudomonadota bacterium. RNAcentral's name for it is "Proteobacteria bacterium partial 16S ribosomal RNA". It matches the Rfam family "Bacterial small subunit ribosomal RNA", at positions 355 to 776 of the family's 1533-position model. The record is from RNAcentral. Lineage: Bacteria; Pseudomonadati; Pseudomonadota.